This 72-nucleotide transfer RNA is filed under the name Camelus bactrianus (Bactrian camel). It matches the Rfam family "tRNA". From Rfam's summary of the family: Transfer RNA (tRNA) molecules are approximately 80 nucleotides in length. RNAcentral also lists the same sequence under 1 other name. Lineage: Eukaryota; Metazoa; Chordata; Mammalia; Artiodactyla; Camelidae. The record is from Rfam by way of RNAcentral.
GAGGGUGUAGCUCAUGGGUAGAGCACGAGCUUAGCAUGCACAAGGUCCUGGGUUCAACCCCCAGUACUUCCU